This 301-nucleotide ribosomal RNA is filed under the name uncultured bacterium. RNAcentral describes it as "partial 16S ribosomal RNA". It matches the Rfam family "Bacterial small subunit ribosomal RNA", at positions 509 to 807 of the family's 1533-position model. The record is from RNAcentral.
CAGCCGCCACGGGAACACGGAGGGUGCAAGCGUUAAUCGGAAUUACUGGGCGUAAAGCGCACGCAGGCGGUCUGACAAGUCAGAUGUGAAAUCCCCGGGCUUAACCUGGGAACUGCAUUUGAAACUGUCAGGCUGGAGUCUUGUAGAGGGGGGUGGAAUUCCAGGUGUAGCGGUGAAAUGCGUAGAGAUCUGGAGGAAUACCGGUGGCGAAGGCGGCCCCCUGGACAAAGACUGACGCUCAGGUGCGAAAGCGUGGGGAGCAAACAGGAUUAGAUACCCCGGUAGUCCCUGUCUCUUAUAC